Molecule: RNA transcript, 6620 nt
Organism: Dermacentor silvarum
Lineage: Eukaryota; Metazoa; Arthropoda; Arachnida; Ixodida; Ixodidae
Exons: 3
Source: RefSeq, a predicted model, not a curated record
UGAAGCAAGUGAACUGACCCGCACAAUGUUUUUGUCGCACAUUGCUACACACUUUAGUAGUGGCACAGACUCUGUCACAUGCCCUUUCACAGGUUGUGUCAGUGUGCUGACGACAGCUCAGUCAUUCAGAACGCAUGUGUCAAGAUACCACAGUGGCACUACAGAUGCUCUACAGCACUUGCAAGGGCCAGAUGCUGACAUUGAAAUGGAAGCAGGAACUGCUGAAACUGAAGAAUCUAGUCUGUCCAUGAGCGUAGUGCGAAGCCAUGAUGUAGAGCCUAGUAGCAGCAGCCAUUUCGAUGAGAACCUUUUUACUGAUAAUUUUGCACUGUUUCUUCUGAAACUUGAGAGCCAGCAUCACGUACCUGCUAGUACUGUGCAAAACAUUAUCAAAGAGAUGCAGAAUCUUCAUAGCCUGAAUCGUACUUUGACUUUACAAGAGGUUUCAAAAGCUGUCUCAAAUGAUACCCUUGCUGCUGUAAAUUCGGCACUUUCUAUAGACCCUUUUGGAACUGCAUCUCUCGUCCUCAACUCAUCCUAUUCUAGGCACAAAUAUUAUAAAGCAAACUUCUGUUUCGUGCCACCUGUAGAGAUCACCCUGGGUAUGAACAAGCAGAAUGUAGCAUCAGUUUGCUGUUAUGUUCCAAUUGAAGACCUGAUAUGUUUCUUGCUCUGUCAUGCACCUACUGGUCAACCCAGUGCGUCAGAUGGGUGCUACCAUGAUUAUAUUUUCUGCCAGCCUUUCAAACAGUCCGAUGAAAAUGUCAUACGCAUAAUCCUGUAUCAGGACGAGUUUGAAAUUGUGAACCCACUGGGCUCAUCAAAGGGCCAUUUCAAGUUGCUUGCGGUGUAUAUGACCCUUGGGAAUUUGCCACUGUACUGCAGGUCGCGUGUAGAGAGCAUGCAGCUAGUGAUGCUUUGUCGCCAGAAAGACGUAAGAGAAUUUGGGCUCCAGAAGGUUUUACAGCCAUUAACCGAAAGUUUAGUGAUGCUGGAACAGAAAGGACUGCCAAUUAAUGGAGUGAACCACCAUGUACGGUUGGACUUCGUAGUGGGUGAUAACCUUGGAAGUCAUAUGAUUGGUGGCUUCACCCAGAACUUCAGCACAUCCGCAUUCAUUUGCCGUUUCUGCCUUUUGACUCGUUUAGAAUUUCAUGAGAAACCACAUCUAGUUGGGGAAAGGCGGACCCCAGAAAAGUAUAUGCAGUCACUUGAACGGCUUGAAAGCAGUAAUGAACAGAGUGACUGUGGCAUUGUAAAUAACUCCCCGUUUCAUGUACUGAGGCACUUUCAUGUGUGCCGGUCAGGAUUGCCUCCAUGUAUUGGACAUGACCUUUUUGAAGGUGUAGUUCGACAUGACUUGCCGUUAUACAUUCGGUAUUUUGUCACCAAGAAAAGGUGGUUUACUUAUGAAUAUCUGAACAACAGGAUUUCUACUUUGAAAUACAGCACUCAUGACCUGCGAAACAAGCCAGCCAAGGUGCCCAGCCAAAGUGACAAGCUUGGGGGCCAUGCAAUUCAAAAUUGGACGCUGUUAAGAUUGCUUCCUUUGUAUAUAGGCACAAAAGUGGCCGAUACAAAUGACCCAACUUGGGAGCUCGUGGUCAAACUCAUGGAGGUAACCGAUCUCAUUAUGGCACCAAAAAUAACUGCAGCUCAAGUUGCAUAUCUGAAAAUUUUGACCGAAGACUACAUAGUGUCUCGAAGUAUCCUGUUUCCCAGUGCCAAACUACGGCCAAAGCAUCACUACAUGCUACAUUACAGUGAACUUAUUCAGGAGUUUGGCCCACUCUGCCACGUGUGGACUAUGAGAUUUGAAGGCAAACAUCAAUAUUUUAAACAGUGCAUACGCAGUUCACGAAACUUCAAGAAUGUCACAAAGACAUUGAGCGAACGACACCAGCUUUAUCAAUCAUUCCUGGCUGCCCGAGGUUUAUUCCGCACUUCUCCAGUGUUCACAGACAUGAGCCAGGAUGAGCAAACAAGGAUUCAGAGUGAGGUUGUGCAUUGUCAGAUUCGUGAGCAUAGUGUCCUGCUAAAGAAAGCCACUGUGGAUGGUUGCAUGUAUGCAGUCGAUGACUAUGUUCUUGUGUCGGGAACAAGGUUUGAUCCUGUGUUUGGUUUAAUAAUUGCCAUUGUGAAAAACAUCUCUGCAGAAAUAUUUCUGUUAGUUAAGUGUGUUCGUUCAGCAUGCUUGCCAGGUCUCUCGUUGUAUGUGUUGCAAAGUUCAGCUUGCACAACAGAACUCCUAUGCCCUUUUGAGCUGCUAGACAGGACAGCUUACCAGCCCUACGCUUUCAAUGGUGCCACUGUUAUUAGACUGAACUUUUCAUUUCCUGAAACGCUGUGAGCACUAUCAGGCUGGUUUUGCAUGCUCAAUUGUGUAUCGAAAUUCUGUUGUUAUACCUCACUGUGAAGUUUGUUAUAAAAGUUGAAUGAAAAAGCAUGCCUUGCAAUAGCAAAAAAAAGUUUGCCUUGUUGAUAGGGCUUCAUAUAGUAUUUUAGUCCUACAUUGUUUUACUGCAGACACUCGAUAUACAGCAAAGCCACUCAGUAUGGUACAUUAUACAGUAGAACCGUGUUACAGUGCAGUUGUUGAUACAGGGAAGACCUUCACUAUAUUGGUAUCUUCACUACAGCUUUAGUUCACCAUUUUGCUUUUCUGUGACUACGAUUAAGCUUUGCCAUGCACAGUGGGUUCUAAAGGAGUGCAAGUUUGCUACUUGUUGAAAUGUAGUGCCUAUAUUUACAGAAAAGUUCUUACUGUAGAAAGAAUGGUGAAUGCUAAUUCCAAGCAAUCCUGUUAAUGCACAAAUCGUUAUUCAAGGUGACCAGACAAUGGCAAAAAUCGCUUGCAAAAGGAAAGCUUUCUCGGCCCCAUAUUUGCAGGCUAUCAUUGCAUGUAUGGAUUCUGCCACCAUUUCUGUAAUAGGAAAGCAUAGUUACCACUCUGAUGGGACUUCAAAGUUCAAAGCAGCCAGUGUGUGCAUUCAGGCAUAAAUUGUAAAUUGAAAUGGUUCGCUGAAAUAACCAUGGUGAGUGCAAGUAUUGUUUACUCCCAUAAUUUUCUGAAAACUGUACUUUUGUUUAUGGCACAACUACCCACGGUUUCAUAUAUCAGUUUAUUCGUUAUGACCAUCUUAACUAUAUCAAUUAAAAAAAUUAAUGGACACCUGUCUGAGUGUAAUCACAAGCAGUUGUAGCAGCACCAGCAAUGCCACCACCUUCUCGCCUUGCAACGUUUCUAUAUAAAUUAGUUUGUAUAUGUGUGCUUACUCGUGCUUAAGCAACGCAGUAUUUCUCUUCAACACAGAUGUUCCCUAUAUGCGGCUUUGCUCUAUCAAGAUUCUGCUGUAUCAUACUAGAAAGACGGCUACUGUUGUCGAUGUUCCAAUAUUUGUAUCAGUUUAUAGUUGUACUGUCAGAGUAAAAUAUAAAUUGUAGCCUGCAAACUCUGAUAUAGUGCUGUCUUGAAGCAAAGCGUGCUUUGUGGUAUGCUUGUUAUUAUGUAAAAAACUCUUUUCAAUUGUUAUGUUAAGCCAAGUUGCAUUUCUUGUGUGAAUUGCCGUGUGAAACUUGCUUGCCCAAGUAGGCAAUAUUGAUAUCAACUGCUCUGUAUGUGAUGUUAGAUGUACUGGACAGUCUGUACUCUUUUCCAUGCCCCUGGGCUUGGAGCAUGUAGUUGCAUUGUUUGCUUUGCAACACAUUUGCAUUUGUCUGUUACCUGGUGUUUUGUGAUUUAUACUGUUAGAUGGAACUUACAAGUUCUGAAAGUUCCAGUUAUUUGGUGUGGCAGCUCGCAUAAGUGUCAUCACUGACCAGUGCAGUGAAUACUGUAGGUUCUUCGCUAUACAAAAGUGUUUCUUGAUGCUUCUCAACAAGCUUCUCGCCACUGCACUGCAGGAAACAGUCCACUAUGCCACUUAUUAAAAUUUGGAGUGGCGAUCAAGUGGUGAAAAAGGUGGCUCAUGCUACCACUUUAGCAGAGGUGCUUGUUCAGGCAAACGAAAAAGGAGUCUGCAGUUCUCCAAAUGCAAAGGUUUUCUUGAGAGACUGGACUCAGUUAGAUGAAGACAUCUUCAAGGACGUAUUGGAAGAACUUCCACUUGAAGAGAGAGUAUUCAUUGUGGCGGAAGUAAUUCCACCAAUUCCAGUUGACCAGGCUGUUCCAGGCAGCUCCGGGCUAGAUGAUCUAGUGGAAACCUUCCACAGUGCAAACACUCAAUUUAAGCUUGAAAUUGAUAGAUUGCCAGUAAGUGUGCAAACUGCCCUUGAAGCUAACGGACCUCUUCCUCCAAGAGAGAGGAGGGAAUUGGUGAGGUCCACUGUUGACCAGCUAACAAAAUUCUGUUCGAGGCCAAGGCGGGAACUCAUCAAGUCUGUAGCUUCAGCCAUAGUGCUGAAAUUUCCCAGCGCACUGCAAGACAAGGCAAUAGGUGGCCACCUCCUCGGUAGAGGUUACGACUCUCUUUUCCAACAACUGGAAAACAGAGUCGAGAACAUCUACCGAGGAAAGCAGCCAGCCUCGCCUUCUAACGAGAGAAAACACCAAAGAAGCAAAAAGUGGUCCUAUGGAUGCAUUGAUUGGCAACCGCGAAGAAAUUUGGAGCAUCCACAGGACAUUGAAGAAAAAAUUAAUUUCUUGAAGCAGGAGGGUAGGAAGAGCUUGAAAGAUGUCAAUGUGCCUGUGGCACUUUUAUAUAUGGGGGAAACAUAUCCGGAACAGAGAAACUUUGUAAACAGUGAUCCAUUCCCAACCACAACCCAAGUGAAGGAAGAGUGGCCUCUUCUAUUCAAAAGGCCAUUUUUCUACCAACAUUCUGACAAGCUCCUUGGAAAGGAUGUAAAGGCAAGCACUGACAUUUUAUUGUGAUCAGGAAUGAAUGUUGUAGUUUAAAGGGUAAGCUAAGUAGUUGAUAAAUCAAGGCUGCACUACACGCAUGCAUAUUGAACACAUUUGAUGGCUUAACCAUUUACCGUAUGUUGUAUUAUAAAGGGUGCCCCAACUAUCGUGCAGUAAGGUUUAAAAAUAUGCAAAUACUACGUAGCUGGACAGAACCAAGGUUGUUUGCUAUCGCUUGGCGAUACUCAAGAUUAUUUUGUUGCAUUCUGCCUAAUUACAUAAUUAGUCUUAAUUAAUCAACUUCUCAGAUAUUAUAGUUAGGCAAAACGUGUCAAUGAGAAUUGUAGAGCAACAUGGAAAAACUGAUACAGCAUUUUGUUGCUCAAUACGUGCUACGUAAGUGUUUUUCCGAGCGUGAAAGAAGCCAACAAAUACACGCAAAGUACCUUGAGCGUCCAGUCUCGCGUGGCAAUUGAUGUUGCUCCACAAUAUUCUCGUUAGCACUUUUCAUUGAAUUAUAAUAUUCGAGAAGUUUAAGACUAUUAGGCAGAAUGCAACAAAAUCUUGAGUAUCUCCAAGCGAUGGCAAACAACGUUACCUUGGUUCUGUCCAGCUACGUGGUAUUUGCAUAUUUUUAAAUGGUACUGCAUGUAGGUUGGGACACCCUGUAUAUGGUAAUCAUUGAACUUUUUCAUAGUUUAUAGCAUAAAAAAUAUCAUGGCAUAUUUACUUGUAAUCUGUCAUGUCUAGCAAAAAAAAACAAAUUGUAACAUUGGAAAUAAUUUUAAGUUAAUUCUUCUUUCAAUGUAUGACAUAAGUUGAAUGUGUAACAUGAAAAAAAGCUAGUAAACAGUUUAUUUUGAGAAAUUUUUGCACUUUGAAUGACUGCACGAAAAUUUGUGAGCGGGUUUGCUUUUUUGUUAACCUGAAAAUGAUACAGCAUGAAAUAUGGGUUUUCUGUGGGGAGCUUAUUUUUACUUGCUAGAAGAACUUAGCACGAAGUGUUUUUACAAGCCAUAAAGUCUCUUAGCGCUAUCACUGUCAUGAAUAUGUUGCACGAUAAAAGCACUGGCGGUACAAUAAACAUGCCAUGUUGCAAGAUCAAAUGACAGCAGCAGAAAUAAACCUUUUGGAAAAAGGCGGAAGCCAUUCUUAGGUUGCAUAAGUAUCCUAAAGACUUCACAAAGGACAAAUUAACAUAAAAGUAUAGUGUUGCUUACGUUCAAUCAAGGAAAUCAUCAAAUUAUAAAAAAUGUUCUGUGAUGUGCUUUUCUAGCUUUUUUUUCAACUUUUUUUUCUCCAGGUUUUGAGCUAUUAAAUUGGUUUUUGUAUCAUGACAAAACAUUGCCGUACCUGCAUGGAAUAUUAUACAUGAUGGGCAAUGACAUUUGCUCAUAAAAUUGCAACUGUGUAUUUUAUCAAAUUGUGAUUUGUUCUUUUUAAAUAACAAUUCCUUUUGCUGAAUAACCCCAUUUUUUUCUGAUGCAGACGUGUGCAAACUUUUUUCCAAAUGUAAACAUUGGUUAGGCAUUUCCUUCUCGAAAAACAGAUUACGUAUGAGACACAAGGAAUCGUACAUUUUUAACUGUCAUAUUUUGCUUGCAGCACACAUGCAUAUGUGGGGGUCGUGUAUCUUAGUGAGUGUUUUAUUUUUGUUUCAGGCUGUGUUUGAGGAAAACAUGGCAGCAUGUGCACCGCUGCUGCAUAAGCACUUGGCACCUGUGCUGAAGAAGGACACCAUGUACUUGAUUUUUCAAGUUGAAGAACAACAAAAAAG